CUUCUUGCUGCCUUCACCUGCUUCACACUCCUCUUUGUCUCUCUCUCUUACUGAGAAAAGCUAAGCUCACUGGCUUCAAAUGAUGGCCGAGAUCGAGGUGAAGAACGAUGCCUCUGCUGAUUCCCCGACUUCGGUUCUUGAAGACGAGGAGAAAUGCAAGGACAAAACUGGAGACAAGUUGGAAAAAGAUGUCCUUCCAGAUGCAAAAAAUGGUGAUUCUUCUCCUGUAUCUAGAGCCAUGGCAGAGGAGGAAGAAAAGCUCUUGGAAGCACGAACGAGACAAGAAGAAGAGGAAGAGCCAGGGGAGGCACCUCACUUAAAUGGCACCCAGUUUACCAAAUUAGAUGAGCUUCUAACACAAACGCAACUCUACUCAGAGUUUUUGCUGGAAAAGAUGGAUGAAAUCACUCGUAAUGGAGUGGAGCAGGAGAGUGAAACUGCUGAGAAAAAGAGAGGUCGUGGCGCAAAAAGAAAAUCUGCUGCACAAUACAAUUCUAGGAAAGCCAAGAGAGCUGUUGCUGCGAUGCUGACAAGAUCUAAAGAAGCUGAAAAUAUUGAAGAUGGAGAUCUAACUGAGGAAGAAAGACUUGAGAAAGAGCAGAGAGAGCUAGUACCUUUGUUGACUGGUGGAAAGUUAAAGUCCUAUCAAAUCAAAGGUGUGAAGUGGUUGAUUUCCUUGUGGCAAAAUGGGCUCAACGGGAUCCUUGCUGAUCAAAUGGGACUUGGAAAAACUAUUCAAACAAUUGGUUUCCUUGCGCAUCUAAAAGGGAAUGGCUUAGAUGGCCCAUAUAUUGUGAUUGCUCCUCUUUCUACUCUCUCAAAUUGGGUGAAUGAGAUUUCAAGGUUUGCUCCCUCUAUAAAUGCUAUUAUCUAUCAUGGCAGCAAGAAACAAAGGGAUGAGAUAAGGAGAAAAUACAUGCCCAGAUCUAUUGGCCCCAAGUUUCCUGUUGUAGUUACUUCUUAUGAGGUUGCAAUGUUUGAUGCAAAAAAGCAUCUGAGGCAUUACAAUUGGAAAUAUGUUGUGGUUGAUGAGGGACAUCGGUUGAAAAAUUCAAAAUGCAAAUUGCUGAAGGAAUUGAAAUACUUACCCAUGGAAAAUAAGCUCCUGCUGACUGGGACACCUCUGCAGAACAAUUUAGCAGAGCUCUGGUCAUUGUUAAAUUUCAUUUUGCCUGAUAUUUUCCAAUCCCAUGCUGAAUUUGAGUCAUGGUUUGAUCUGUCAGGAAAGGCUAACGGUGAAGCAACGAAGGAGGUGCUGGAAGAGAAGAGAAGGGCACAAGUGGUAGCUAAACUUCAUGCCAUAUUGCGUCCAUUUCUCCUCCGGAGAAUGAAGACUGAUGUUGAGUGGAUGCUUCCUCGGAAAAAAGAGAUAAUUCUAUAUGCUACCUUGACUGAACAUCAAAAGAACUUUCAGGAUCAUUUAGUUAAUAAGACUUUGGAGGGCUAUUUAAGAGAGAAGUUGGAUACAGGGCGUGGUUUGAAAGGAAAGCUCAACAAUUUGAUGAUUCAGCUUCGGAAGAACUGCUACCACCCUGACCUCUUGGAGUCAGCUUUUGAUGGCUCAUAUUUCUACCCACCUGUGGAACAGAUAAUUAAUCAGUGUGGCAAGUUCAGGUUGCUGGACAGAUUGUUGAAUAGGUUAUUUGCACUUGAGCACAAAGUCCUGAUAUUUUCUCAGUGGACUAAGAUUUUGGAUAUAAUGGACUAUUAUUUUAGUGAAAGAGGUUUUGAAGUAUGUAGAAUUGAUGGCAGUGUGCAGUUGGAUGAAAGGAAAAGACAGAUCAAGGAAUUCAAUGAUGUGAAUAGCAACUAUAGGAUAUUUCUUCUCAGCACUAGAGCUGGUGGAUUGGGUAUCAACCUUACUGCAGCAGAUACUUGCAUACUAUAUGACAGUGACUGGAACCCACAAAUGGAUUUGCAGGCCAUGGAUAGAUGUCAUAGAAUUGGCCAGACCAAGCCUGUUCAUGUUUACAGACUUGCAACAGCUCAAUCCAUUGAGGGUCGCAUAUUGAAAAGAGCAUUUAGUAAGUUGAAGCUUGAGCAUGUGGUUAUUGGUAAGGGGCAGUUUCAUCAAGAAAGAACAAAGUCUAAUUUGAUGAAUGAUUUGGAGGUUUGUUGUAUCUUCCUUGUCUCUCUUUUUCUAUUAUGUUAUUUAUCAUUUUGGUGGAGGUGGUUGCGCGCCUUAUCUACUAAUUGGGAGGGUUAUAUUUUCUUUGGUCAUAUUUGUUGUCAUUUAUUGUUCUACUUUUGAACUUGCCUUCUUAUUGCACUGGUUGUUUAUUGAUGAAAUGACAAUAUAGGUAAUAAAACCUUGACUGUUGAAAUGACAAUGUAGGUAAUGAAAAAUGAAAGUAUUGUAAUACUUAAGGCUGGAUAUUUAAUUGAUUGUUGACCAUGGUUGACCAUAUUGGGAUGUGAUUUGCUGAUUUAUUAGCCGCAAUGACGAGCUUCACUAGUUAUAUUCUCUUUCAAAGUUGGAUUUUUCUUACAAAAUUUUCAGGAGGAGGACUUGUUGGCACUGCUUCGAGAUGAAGAAAGUGCUGAAGACAAGUUGAUACAGACAGAUAUUAGUGAUGAGGAUUUGGAAAGGGUAAUGGAUCGCAGUGACCUGAUUGGAGGCUUAUCAGAUGACCAAAAUGAUGAUGCUGUGAUUGGCACAAUCCCCCUUAAAGGGCCUGGUUGGGAGGUGGUAAUACCGACUGCAACUGGGAGCAUGCUUUCCACCCUUAACAGCUAAGGGGUUGCUUUAGUGAAUUGGGAUAGGUUGUCUAUAGAUUGGGAUGUUAUGCCAUUUUGGGGUUGAUCUUGGAGGAUGCUUUGUUUGGGCUCUAAUUUUUGAGAGCAGAAUGUUGCUCUGGGAACGUCUUCCAUUUUGGAAAUGUUAUGGAAAGGGCUCUAAUUCUUUAGAAGAAGUGAUUUUUGUAAUGGUCUAUUAUCUGAUGAAUUAUCAUCUUCAGAUACAAUAUGUGAAACGUGAAACCAUUUGAAUGCUUAUCUAAGCUGAAAUCGUGUUGUGUUUAAA
This 3022-nucleotide unclassified non-coding RNA is filed under the name Hevea brasiliensis (rubber tree). Lineage: Eukaryota; Viridiplantae; Streptophyta; Magnoliopsida; Malpighiales; Euphorbiaceae. The record is from RNAcentral.